Molecule: ribosomal RNA, 447 nt
Filed under: uncultured bacterium
Lineage: Bacteria
Description: bacterial SSU rRNA
Rfam family: Bacterial small subunit ribosomal RNA
Source: RNAcentral
GGCCAGACUCCUACGGGAGGCAGCAGUGGGGAAUAUUGCACAAUGGGAGAAACCCUGAUGCAGCGACGCCGCGUGAGUGAAGAAGUAUUUCGGUAUGUAAAGCUCUAUCAGCAGGGAAGAUAAUGACGGUACCUGACUAAGAAGCCCCGGCUAACUACGUGCCAGCAGCCGCGGUAAUACGUAGGGGGCAAGCGUUAUCCGGAUUUACUGGGUGUAAAGGGUGCGUAGGUGGCAGGGCAAGUCAGAUGUGAAAGCCCGGGGCUCAACCCCGGUACUGCAUUUGAAACUGUCCAGCUGGAGUGCAGGAGAGGUAAGCGGAAUUCCUAGUGUAGCGGUGAAAUGCGUAGAUAUUAGGAGGAACACCAGUGGCGAAGGCGGCUUACUGGACUGUAACUGACACUGAGGCACGAAAGCGUGGGGAGCAAACAGGAUUAGAUACCCUCGUAC